Molecule: transfer RNA, 73 nt
Filed under: Cordylochernes scorpioides
Lineage: Eukaryota; Metazoa; Arthropoda; Arachnida; Pseudoscorpiones; Chernetidae
Description: tRNA-Thr
Rfam family: tRNA
About the family: Transfer RNA (tRNA) molecules are approximately 80 nucleotides in length. Their secondary structure includes four short double-helical elements and three loops (D, anti-codon, and T loops).
Source: RNAcentral
UCCAGGGUGGCCUAGUGGACAUGGCACCUGCCCGGUAAGCAGAAGGUUGUGGGUUCGAUUCCCGCCCCUGGAC